GAUGAAGAACGCAGCGAAAUGCGAUAAGUAGUGUGAAUUGCAGAAUUCAGUGAAUCAUCGAAUCUUUGAACGCACAUUGCGCCCUUUGGUAAUCCAAAGGGCAUGCCUGUUCGAGCGUCAUUUGUACCCUCAAGCUUUGCUUGGUGUUGGGCGUCUUGUCUCUAGCUUUGCUGGAGACUCGCCUUAAAGUAAUUGGCAGCCGGCCUACUGGUUUCGGAGCGCAGCACAAGUCGCACUCUCUAUCAGCAAAGGUCUAGCAUCCAUUAAGCCUUUUUUUCAACUUUUGACCUCGGAUCAGGUAGGGAUACCCGCUGAACUUAAGCAUAUCAAUAAGCGGAGGA
This 341-nucleotide unclassified non-coding RNA is filed under the name soil metagenome. RNAcentral describes it as "partial contains 5.8S ribosomal RNA, internal transcribed spacer 2, and large subunit ribosomal RNA". The stretch from base 1 to 120 matches the Rfam family "5.8S ribosomal RNA", at positions 35 to 154 of the family's 154-position model. The record is from RNAcentral.